This 239-nucleotide long non-coding RNA is filed under the name Elaeis guineensis (African oil palm). RNAcentral describes it as "long non-coding RNA (EGUI_LNC057041)". Lineage: Eukaryota; Viridiplantae; Streptophyta; Magnoliopsida; Arecales; Arecaceae. The record is from RNAcentral.
ACAUGAUGCAUGGAUGAUAGUCUAAAGGAACUAGGACUGUGAGAUUCAGAGGAGCUGUCAACAAAUUCAAUAGGUGGGCUUCUUGUGGACCUAGUGCUCUGGGGAUAAGGAUGGUGGUUGGAGUAGUCAUCUAGUGGUUCUAACAGGAGAAGGUCUAGACAAAGAGGGUCCUUUUGGUUAGAUUGAAGGCUGAGUUUGGAGUGGAGGCAAUGUAGGAAUAGCUUACUAUUGAAGUCUUC